This 433-nucleotide ribosomal RNA is filed under the name uncultured bacterium. RNAcentral describes it as "partial 16S ribosomal RNA". It matches the Rfam family "Bacterial small subunit ribosomal RNA", at positions 29 to 507 of the family's 1533-position model. The record is from RNAcentral.
AGCGAACGCUGGCGGCAGGCCUAACACAUGCAAGUCGAACGAACUCUUCGGAGUUAGUGGCGGACGGGUGAGUAACACGUGGGAACGUGCCUUUUGGUUCGGAAUAACUCAGGGAAACUUGUGCUAAUACCGAAUGUGCCCUUCGGGGGAAAGAUUUAUCGCCAUUAGAGCGGCCCGCGUCUGAUUAGCUAGUUGGUGAGGUAACGGCUCACCAAGGCGACGAUCAGUAGCUGGUCUGAGAGGAUGACCCGCCACACUUGGACUGAGACACGGCCCAGACUCCUACGGGAGGCAGCAGUGGGUAAUCUUGCGCAAUGGGCGAAAGCCUGACGCAGCCAUGCCGCGUGAAUGAUGAAGGUCUUAGGAUUGUAAAAUUCUUUCACCGGGGACGAUAAUGACGGUACCCGGAGAAGAAGCCCCGGCUAACUUUGUG